This 711-nucleotide ribosomal RNA is filed under the name uncultured organism. RNAcentral's name for it is "bacterial SSU rRNA". It matches the Rfam family "Bacterial small subunit ribosomal RNA", at positions 85 to 828 of the family's 1533-position model. The record is from RNAcentral.
UUCGGUGACAGUGGCAAACGGCUGAGUAAUGCAUGAGAACUUACCCCAAAGUUAGGCAUAGCCACGAGAAAUCGUGGGUAAUUCCUAAUGGUCUCUUCGGAGUAAAGCUUUAGCGCUUUGGGAUAGGCUCAUGUCCUAUCAGGUUGAUGGUGGGGUAACUGCCUACCAUGCCGAUGACGGGUAGCUGGUCUGAGAGGAUGUCCAGCCAGACUGGGACUGCGACACGGCCCAGACUCCUACGGGAGGCAGCAACUAGGAAUCAUGCGCAAUGGACGAAAGUCUGACGCUGUGACGUCGCGUGCUGGAUGAAGGCCCUAGGGUUGUAAACAGCUUUUAUUGGGGAACAAGUUCUGAGUGUACCCAAUGAAUAAGUGCCUGCUAAUCACGUGCCAGAAGCAUCGGUAAUACGUGAGGCACAAGCGUUAUCCGGAUUUACUGGGCGUAAAGAGAUGCGUAGGCGUCCUAGUAAGUUUCUAGUUAAAUCUUCCUGCUCAACGGGAAACAAGCUAGAAAAACUAUUAGGAUUGAGUUUGGUAGAGAAGGGGGGGAUUCCUGGUGGAGCGGUUAAAUGCGUUGAUAUCAGGAGGAACACCAAAUGCGAAGGCACCCCUUUGGACCAAUACUGACGCUAAGGCUCGAAAGCGUGGGGAGCAAAACGGAUUAGAUACCCGUGUAGUCCACGCCGUAAACGAUCCCUGCUAGAUAUUUGAA